GUUUCCCUAUAGACCGUGAUGAAGAAUUCAUGGCGGCUAUAAACGAAGAAACGAUCGCGACAAGUUCCCCGGCAGAAGGGGUCGCAUCUCCAGCAAUUAUCGAGCGAUUUCUAUCACGUGAAUUCGCAACGAAACGCGUCGAGGGUGAAUUAUGAGUUGAGAGAAAAGCGAUUUAGAGGAUCAACCGAUCAAACUUAAGUAAAGGCAUGCCUGCCAGCAUCCGUGCCGAACGCGAAACUUAUCUAAAGAUACGAUCCAAACCGAAAAGUCAAUUUUCUUGAGCCAAAGCGAGUCGGCUCCCAUCCCUUCGAGAUAAUAUCGUCGUUUACGAAGCUCCCGUGCACUUCUCCCGGAUCCAGGAAGCACAUGAUCUGGCAAACUUCCGCAUCAACGCCGCCGGAAGAGUGGAACUGAACGAUGUAACGGAUAUGACCGAGGAAAUCGAAGAUCUUGCGGUAUUGUUAAGGAAAAUUAACCAGUUGACUGAGGAAAGAGUCGUGAACACGUUCCGUGUCGCGCGUGAUCAUCGGGAUAAGGAUGAAGGAUGAAUUUUAUUACUGUAUCGAAGAGUAAAGUGCGUACAAUUUUCAGAGUUAAGUUAAUACAGGAUGCAUUUAAAUUGAUAAUAAAUAGAACGUGAAUUCUCGUGCGUUUAUGGGAAAUUUGAAAGUGCGAAACUGCACAGAAUGCGUACGAUACGAGAAAACGUAUAAAAUACCCAAGGUAUAUGCGGUGCUUUCUAUAACACUUGAUUAAACAACUUUCUACCGAUAUUCUACCUUUUUUUAUUCUACUACUACAAAUAUGAAUUUGCAUGAAAAUCAGUCGCACGAACGUCGGUGGAAAAGUAGUUUAAUAAAUAAUAAAAAUAUAUCGAUGGAAGAUGAACAAAAUUGUAAAAUUUUGUUUUGAGAAAUUCAACGCGCUCUUCCGUGGAAUAUCUACAGUCCAGUGGACGAUAACGUUGCUCCAAUUGCUAUAAUCGAUAUCAUGGAAAUUUGAAUUGCCUAAAUUUUCAAAUAAAUUCGAUUAUAGCAGGCAAUUUUUAAUUGCUAGCAAAUUUGAUAAAUUUCCAGAAUUUUGUCUUGAAAAACGCUCGUGUGCCAUCCUCCUCGCGCGCCCUUGCGCAUCCAUCCUUUCCAGAAAUUUUUCUCCGUCAAAACCCUGUUAGAUAUUCCUCGAAGAAGAAUGGGAAAUCGAAAAGAGGCUGUACGACAAACCGAAACAACGUCCUUAUUUCCUAUCUUGCUCGUCCGCUUCUACUUGCGAAUUUUUCUGGGUCUUGCCCCCUAUGGAAUAUUCCUUAGGGGAGAGGAAAACGAGAAACUAAAAAGGAGGGGGGAAAAAAGAAAGGAAGGAAGAGAAAAAAGUGGACUGGGUCAUCCAUCACGGCUCUCAUCAGCCGCUGUUAACUGAUCCACUUCAAAAGGUACACCAAUACCGACGCCCGAUUGUGCAACUAUGCGCGCCGCUGAAGAGAAGCAAACGAGCGGUCAUGACAAGAUUGAUGUGCAUUUUCGGUGCACCGACGAAUAAUUGAUUUUCGAGUCGACCAACGAUCUCGAUCAUCCUGCCAGUCGGGAGAUGGACGUGCCUCGCGAUCUGCAUCGUAUAUUAUCACCGGGGUCACCGAGGGGGUUGGGCGACAAGGGGGUGGAAAAAACGACUUCAUAUUUGCUCACUACCGUUUCCUUUUUUUUCUAUUUCAUCGUAUUUUAUUAUAUGUAUCGUCUAUUUUUUCUUUUUUUACUUCAUGACAUUUUACGUGGGUAUUAACGAUUCCAGUAUCGUUGAUCGUAAAUUGAUAUUUUGGAAAGCGUUCGAGCUGGUCGUAACGUUGCGCGAAGUAAGCUAUUCCUUCGCUGUUCGCUGUUUAAACUUCAAAUUUUCACCGAUGCAGUUCAAAAUACGAUAUAAUCCGAAAAACCAUAAAUUCUUCGAUGAUGAACUUUUGCUGGCCCGA
Long non-coding RNA from Bombus terrestris (buff-tailed bumblebee), 1963 nucleotides. RefSeq lists it as uncharacterized. The transcript is spliced from 3 exons. The record is from RefSeq and is a predicted model, not a curated record. Lineage: Eukaryota; Metazoa; Arthropoda; Insecta; Hymenoptera; Apidae.